RNAcentral lists this long non-coding RNA (5102 nucleotides) under Ornithorhynchus anatinus (platypus). RNAcentral describes it as "lncRNA (ENSOANG00000043758.1)". The record is from RNAcentral. Lineage: Eukaryota; Metazoa; Chordata; Mammalia; Monotremata; Ornithorhynchidae.
AUGCCUGACCCUGAUUCCUGCUGCCGAGGGCUUCCGUCGCUCCCCCAGAAUUACAGGAUUCCUACAGCAACGUCUACCUAUCCAAGACCUUCUUCGAGCAGAUCCCUCCUUUCAGAAGUUCACCUACUCCCCAGUUGGUUCCCAGCGGCUGGACAGACGGGCUCCCUGGGGAUGCACCCAGCGGGAUCAAGGAACGGGGAACCGGGCUUUAUGUGGGGUGUCAAUCUCCAGCCUCAGCCCAGUUUAGCCUUGUGCGAGUGUGGAAGAGAGCGAGGGCUGCGUGCGGGACCCAGAAGUUUCAUGCGACUCCCAAACGCUAAGCAAAAUGGAGCCCAGGGUUUGUUACCUGAGGAAAUCUCGGGUUCUUAACAGAGGGGAUAGAGGGGGAAAAAAACCCAGCAGUGAAAUAUUCAUAACUCGUUUAAAAUAGCCAAGCCUUCCAGGUAGCCCACUCCAAUAGAUAUGUGGAUUCUGUUGACAGAAUUGAAGAUUUGAACCAUUGAUCACCCAAAUGUACUAAAUCCCUUAAAGUCCGACUGGCAGAAUUGGAAAGACUUCGUCAGUAGACCCCGGCCCAUUUGACAGUGGAAAAGUUAAGAAAAUAUCAAUAUUUAAUUUUGGUGUUUUGGAGUGUUUACCCUUAUUUCUACCCCCACAGUCUUGCUUUAAAAAUGAGGGUUAAUGUUUGACGAGCCUGAAAAUCUCAUUGUUAGCAGUCCUUCCAAUAGUAACGCAGAGCAGAACUUCUGAACUGGAAGGCCCAGGGCAGGAUGGGGCUGGGCAGGAUGGGGUGGGACUAAGGGGGCUGGCCUGAUUCAGGGGACCCUCAAUCAAUCAGUCAAAUCAAUGGCAUUUAUUAAAUGCUUAGUAUGUGCAGAGCACUGUACUAAGCACUUGGGGGUAAUAUUAAAUAAACGGUUGAUAGACAGGUUCCCUGACCUCAGUGAGUUUACAUUAAUAGAAAUAGUUCACAUUAAUAGAAAUAAAUAUACUAUGGAUAUGUACAUAAUACUAAUAAUAAUGAUAUCUGUUAAGUGCUUAAUAUGUGCUAAGUACUGUUCUUACCUCUGGGGUAGAUACAAGGGUGAUCAGGUUAUCCCACAUGGGGUUCACAGUCUUAAUCUCCAUUUUACUGAUGAGGUAUCUGAGGCAUAGAGAAGUGAAGUGAUUUGCCCAAAGUCACACAGCUGAUGAGAGAUGGAGACGGGGCUGAGGGAGGAGUGAAUAAAAGGUGCAAAUCCAAGUGGAAGGGUGACACAGAAGGGAGUGGGAGAAGAAGAAAUGAGGGCGUAGGCAGGGAAGGCCUUUUGGAGAAUAAAUGCUUUAAAUGAGGUUUUGAAGGUGGGGAGAGUGAUCAUCUACUGGAUGUAAAGAGGGAGGGCGUUCCAGGCCAGAGGCAGGACAUGGGUGGGGUUGGCAGUGAGAUAGAGGAGAUGGAGGUACAGUGAGUAGGUUGGCAUUGGAGGAGCAAAGUGUGUGGGCUGGGUUGUGGUAGGAGAAUGUGAGUGGCUGUGGAGUCUCCUAAAGGAUUCAACUGGCACAGAGAUGUUGGUUGCAGAAUGGCUGUGCUCGGCCCUCAGAAACACCCCCGCUCUCAGGCCCCGCCCGGACAGUUGGACCAACAGUAAACGGGGACUCUUCCGGGGCUAGCUCAGGGCCUCCAAAAGCCCUGUUAGAAGCUGGUAGCCUCCGGGCCACUGAGCAGAAAGACCCUCCCGGUGACCCUCAUUCUGCAACAAGCCCUUUCCCUUGGCUCCCUGCCCCACUCUAGCCAGGGACUGGGACCUCAGGGACCAGGGUCACCCUGGUGACACGAGUGCCACCAAGAUGGCCAUGAGCCUCACCCCUACCCAGAUCCUCCCUGGUUUCAAAAAAAACAAAAAAAGGUAUGUGUUAAGUGCCUACUAUGUGCCAGGCACUGUACUAAGUGUGGGACAGAUACAAGCUACUCAGGUUGGACACCUUCCCCAAUUCCUCUAGACUAAUCCCCAAUUCCUCUAGACUGUAAACUCUUCGUGGGCAGGGAAUGUGUCCGGGAUUUUUAUCUCGUAUUCUCCCAACUGCUUAGUACAGUGCACUGCACACAGUAAGAGCUCAAUAAACGACUGACAAUCAAUGAAUUUCACAGAUGAGAUAACUGAGGCACAGAGAAGUGAAAUGACUUGCUCGAGGAUACCCAGCAGACAAGUGGCAGAGCCAGGAUUAGAAUCCAGGUCCUCUGACUCCCAGGCACAUGCUCUUUCCACGAAGCCAUGCUGCUUUUCUCCCCCUCUCUAGAGGCCUUCCGUGCUGGUAGCCCAGGAGCUAAGAAGCCUGAAAGCACCUGUCUCAGUGAAGGACGGGCUGGGAGGGAAAGGGAACGGGCAGACAGAGAUUAGGGGAGGCCCCAAUUCCACUUCUUCCUCACUCUCUGCAGCUGCCUGGUGUGAGUUUUCCUUCUCUCUCUGGGCCCCCUGGCUCAGUUGAUCUGAGGGAGGUGCUGAGGGACAGACAGGAGCCACAAGGUGGGAAAGACAACGGAACAGGAGACGCAGCAUUGCUUAGUGGAAAGAGCAUUGGCCUGGGAGUCAGUUGACCUGUGUUCUAAACCCUUCUCUACCAGCUGCUUGCUGUGGGACCUUGGACAAGUCACUUAACUUUUCUGUGCCUCAGUUAUCUAAGCGCCUACUUAGACCGUGAGCCCCAUGCGGGACAAAGACUGAGUCCAAUCUAAUUAACUCAUAUCUACCCCAGCGCUUAGAACAGUGUCUGACACAUAGUCAGUGCUUAGCAAAUACCAUAAAAAAGGAGCCAAAAGAGCCUCGUUCACCCCCACACUCGUGGACAAUGAGAAAAGACUGCAGGGACCACGGGGAGCCUGGCGGGAGUGAGACAGGAGCCUGAUGGUGUGGGAGGCCCAGUGGGCAGGUGGGCAGGCUGGUGAACAGCCCCUGGUCUGAAUAUUUUUGUGGAGGAUUGACCAUUUUGGACAGCGUGGCUGCUGGAGGGUCAGUUGGUCAGUUAGAAUCCCCUGUAGGCAGAGGGAGAGUUGGCCGAUAAAAGGACACAUGGCUUCCACAUGGGCUUCCGUGUCAUGGAGAUUCAUGUCGCCCACACUGCCCUUGGGCUUCCACGCUGUUUCUGUUUGGAAACAACACUAAAGACCUGCAAGGAGAUGUGUACAAGUCCCUUUCUCUCCGGAGCUUCGUAUCUUUACUUGUGUUUUCAUCUCUCAUGUCCUCUGUCUCGCUCUGUUGGUCUUUCUCUGUUCUGACCCUGCUUCCUGACUCUUCCAUUCAUUCACUCAUUCAAUAGUAUUUAUUGAGCGCUUACUCUGUGCAGAGCACUGUACUCUUCCACUUGUCACUCCCCAGACCCUCGUCCACUCUGGCACUGCCAGUCAGCCCAGCCUCCUGUUCUGAGCACACUGCUUGUCUCCACCUUCUUAAUGAAUAAUAAUAAUAAUAAUCGUGAUAUUGGUUAAGCGCUUGUUAUGCGCCAAGUACUGUGUUAAGUGCUGGAGUACAUACAGUAUAAUUAGAUUGGACAUAGGUCCCAUCCCACACGGGGUCCAUGGUCCAAGGAAAUAUUGGAUAAUCUGCUUGCUUUGGGAAUAUUCAUUUCCCUGUCUGGGACUGGGCCUUGCCCCUGCCCGACUAUCAGUUUGCUCUCCCGUUGGCUGUGCCCAGAGAGAAACGCAUCUUACCCAACCUGACUAAAUGCUGCUAGAGUGGGACUCCCUUCAGUCUCUUUCAUAAUAAGAAUAAUAGUAAUUAUGGUACUCCUAAAGCACUUACUUCAUGGAUACACUACCAACACGAUUGCAGAUGGAGAAUGGGGCAUUCUUGGAGAGUCACUACGGGUCGGAAACGACUCGACAGGUUAAGACAAGAUGAGCCAAGCACUGUUCUAAGUGCUGGGGUAGAUACAGGUUAAUCAGGUUGGACACAGUCCCCGUCCUGCAUGGGGCUCACACUCUUAAUCUCCGUUUCACCAAAGGGGGAACAGAGGCCCAGAGAAGUGUAGUGACUUACCCAAGGUCACAUAGCAGACAUGUAGCGGAGCCUGGAUUAGAACCCAGGUCCUUCUGACUCCCAAGCCGGUGCUCAAGCCAUGAAGCCAAAAGUCUCCCAAUCCAGUCCCCUGAUGCAGUUUUGGGAAAUCUGAAUUCCCGAGGUUGUAAAUGCCGCGACAGCGGGAGCCACGGUCUGUUUUCCUGGGGUCUCUCUUCCCCUGCCGCCUCUUUCCAAGUGGUGGCCGAACGGAUCUCUUGCAAUGAGCCCGUGGCCAGGAGCAGUUUGCAGCUCUCCAGGUAGAGGAGCCUGUAAAAGCCAAGCCGUCAGCCCAGGGGAAAAGCAGAGCAGUCUUGGGAGGAGCCUGGGGGCCCUGUUUCUUACUCCCCUGACAGAGGAGUGAGUCAAUCAUAUUUACUGAGCAAUUUCUGUGUGCAGAGCACCGGACUAAGAGCUUGGGAGAGUACAGUAUAAGCAAGUAACAGACACAUUCCCUGCCCAUAAAGAGCUUACGGUCUAUAGGGGAAGACAGACAUUAAUCCAAAUAAAUAAAAUUACAGAUACGUACAUAAGUGCUGUGGGGCUGGGAAGGGAGAUGAAUAAAAAGAGCGAGUCAGGGUGAUUCAGAAAGGAGUGGGAGAAGGGGAAAAGAGGGCUUAGUCUGGGAAGGCCUCUUGGAGGAGAGGAGUUGUGCCUUCAAUAAAUCUUUGAAGUUGGGGAGAGUCAUUGUCUGUUGGAUAUACAUUCAUUCAUUCAAUCGUAUUUAUUGAGCGCUUACUGUGCGCAGAGCACUGUACUAAGCGCUUGGAAAGUGCAAUUUUGGCAACAGAUAGAGACAAUCCCUACCCAACAAAGGGCUCACAGACUAGAAGAUACGAAGAAGGAAGGAAGAGAGUGAGGAGUGCUCGGCUCAGUGGACCCCAGGGCCAGCAGCAGAGCCUGGAGUGGGUGGGGAGGGAGGAGAGGAGGAAGGGAAUCGCUGAGGGUCUCCUCUCGGCCUCUCCCAGUCCCAGGAUGGGUCUCAUCCUUGCCUCGCCCCGGCCCGGCUGUCCCAGGAGAGGGUGGAAUGGAUAGACUGGAAAAUUGGAGUUCCUGGCCCGACCAGCCAGG